GUCUUUAUAAGAAGAGGAAGAUCGACCAGAGCUCUCUCUCUCUUCUCUAGGCAUGUGCUCUGAGAAAAGGUCAUCUGAGGACAAAGUACCCGUCUGCAAGCCAGGAAGAGAGCCCUUGCCAGAAACUAAACCCCGCUGGAAACUUGAUUUUGCGCUUUCCAGCCUCUAGAACUAAUAUGUGAAAAACAUUUAAAUCAGAAAGUAAAUGACAGGAUGAUUUGCAAGACACAGGGAUGUAAAAUUAAAAAGCCUCUCGAGCUCCAAAGGGGGAUGCAUCAGGACGAUAAUUCCAAGAGUUCAAUGGUGAAUUUCCUUGGCUUCCACUGAGGUUCCUUGGAGUCUCAGAAAAACCCAGUGAAUCCAGUCUCAAGUGAACCCAGUGAUGGUGAUUCAUGGUUCCUGAUUCUUUUCUAAACUGCUUUCUCAAUUCUCUUUGUUCAUAAUCUUUCCCAGGCAGGAAACUCAAAAGAGAGGUCAGAGAAGGACAAGAAUCCUCAUGCUAUUUGGCAUCUUAUUGUAAGACGUGGUGGAAUAUGUUCAGCAAGUAAAUUUGGCAGAAUUGAAGAGUAAAGGAUUGGCAUAUCAAAAUGCAUAUACAAAAAAAUUAAUCAAAGCAAACAA
This 621-nucleotide long non-coding RNA is filed under the name Homo sapiens (human). Its description in RNAcentral is "long intergenic non-protein coding RNA 1339". Lineage: Eukaryota; Metazoa; Chordata; Mammalia; Primates; Hominidae. The record is from RNAcentral.